This 238-nucleotide ribosomal RNA is filed under the name uncultured bacterium. Its description in RNAcentral is "partial 16S ribosomal RNA". It matches the Rfam family "Bacterial small subunit ribosomal RNA", at positions 15 to 249 of the family's 1533-position model. The record is from RNAcentral.
GAUCCUGGCUCAGGAUGAACGCUAGCGACAGGCUUAACACAUGCAAGUCGAGGGGCAUCAUGAGGUAGCAAUACCUUGAUGGCGACCGGCGCACGGGUGAGUAACGCGUAUGCAGCCUGCCCGAUACCGGGGUAUAGCCCAUGGAAACGUGGAUUAACACCCCAUAGUACUUUUAUCCUGCCUGGGAUGUGAGUUAAAUGUUCAAGGUAUCGGAUGGGCAUGCGUCCUAUUAGUUAGG